This is a long non-coding RNA of Esox lucius (northern pike), 464 nucleotides long. Lineage: Eukaryota; Metazoa; Chordata; Actinopteri; Esociformes; Esocidae. The record is from Ensembl.
UAGUUUCCUUCUUGCCUAACGUCUUAAAGAGGAAGGAAAACAGUUCAGCCCACUUCUACUCUGCUCUGACUACUUGCAACACGUGUGUGUACCAAACGCUUCUUGUUUCCUCAUUGCCAGUCAGUUGUCUUGCAAAGCCACAGCCCCACGUAAUGUAAAGAUACAACAAUGGUCUUGAAAACAGCAUAUAGUCUGUUGGUCGUUUUUCUCUGGUCCGUGACUGCAACUACGGCAAAAGACUGUGGCCAGAUAAUCCAGGUGGUGGUGUCACCAAUUGUUUCCAAGAAGGGAGAGAAUGUAACACUGACCUGUGUCACCAACUGUACUCUGACCAACGCUACCUACAUCUGGUACAGAAACGGUCAACGUCUCGAUGAGCCUACUUCCAGGCAACUCUCAGUAAUAAGUUAUUAUACAUCCAGUUUCUCUUGUUCUGUGAAAGACCAUGAGGAUCUCCAAUCUCC